UAUACUCCUGCAGGACAAGAUUUCUCAGCC
This 30-nucleotide non-coding RNA is filed under the name Mus musculus (house mouse). The record is from RNAcentral. Lineage: Eukaryota; Metazoa; Chordata; Mammalia; Rodentia; Muridae.